AUGCAGUUUCUUUCAGGAAGUUACAACACUUUUGUGGUGAUCAACCAGAAAACUAUUGGUCCUCCAUCCAUCGGUCUCCUAGCUAGAGUAGGGGUAACUAAUUCUGACUUCUUACUACAAGAUUGUUCUAUUUCACUUACAUUUAACAUUGUGAUCUGUUUGGGGUUCCAGUUUAGUUCAGAAUGUGGGUCGUGA
RNAcentral lists this ribosomal RNA (195 nucleotides) under Triticum aestivum (bread wheat). Its description in RNAcentral is "partial small subunit ribosomal RNA". Lineage: Eukaryota; Viridiplantae; Streptophyta; Magnoliopsida; Poales; Poaceae. The record is from RNAcentral.